GACGAAGGUGGCGAGCGUUGUUCGGAAUCACUGGGCAUAAAGCGCACGUAGGCGGCUAAGUAAGUCGGAUGUGAAAUACCUCGGCUCAACCGAGGAACUGCGUCCGAUACUGCUUGGCUUGAGGUCCGGAGGGGAGAGUGGAAUUCCCGGUGGAGCGGUGAAAUGCGUAGAGAUCGGGAAGAACGCCGGCGGCGAAAGCGACUCUCUGGUCGGAAUCUGACGCUGAGGUGCGAAAGCUAGGGGAGCAAACGGG
This 253-nucleotide ribosomal RNA is filed under the name uncultured bacterium. RNAcentral describes it as "partial 16S ribosomal RNA". It matches the Rfam family "Bacterial small subunit ribosomal RNA", at positions 524 to 776 of the family's 1533-position model. The record is from RNAcentral.